AUUGAACGCUGGCGGUAUGCUUAAGACAUGCAAGUCGAACGGUAACAGGUUAAGCUGACGAGUGGCGGACGAGUGAGUAACGCGUGGGAAUCUACCUUGUAGUGGGGGAUAAGCCAGGGAAACUUGGACUAAUACCGCAUACGCCCUAAGGGGGAAAGGCGCAAGUCGCUAUAAGAUGAGCCCGCGUCUGAUUAGGUAGUUGGUGGGGUAAAGGCCUACCAAGCCGACGAUCAGUAGCUGGUCUGAGAGGAUGAUCAGCCACGUCGGGACUGAGACACGGCCCGGACUCCUACGGGAGGCAGCAGUCGGGAAUAUUGGACAAUGGGGGAAACCCUGAUCCAGCAAUACCGCGUGUGUGAGAAGGCCUGCGGGUUGU
Molecule: ribosomal RNA, 376 nt
Filed under: uncultured bacterium
Lineage: Bacteria
Description: bacterial SSU rRNA
Rfam family: Bacterial small subunit ribosomal RNA
Source: RNAcentral